This 494-nucleotide ribosomal RNA is filed under the name uncultured bacterium. RNAcentral's name for it is "partial 16S ribosomal RNA". It matches the Rfam family "Bacterial small subunit ribosomal RNA", at positions 28 to 507 of the family's 1533-position model. The record is from RNAcentral.
GACGAACGCUGGCGGCGUGCUUAACACAUGCAAGUCGAACGGUGAAGCGCCUUCCUUUUUGGUGGGUGUGGAUGAGUGGCGAACGGGUGAGUAACACGUGAGUAACCUGCCCCCUUCUUCUGGUUAACCGCAUGAAAGUGUGGCUAAUACGGGAUAUUCUGGGUCUGUCGCAUGAUGGGUCUGGGAAAGAUAUUGUUUCGGUGGGGGAUGGGCUCGCGGCCUAUCAGCUUGUUGGUGGGGUGAUGGCCUACCAAGGCGGUGACGGGUAGCCGGCCUGAGAGGGUGGACGGUCACACUGGGACUGAGACACGGCCCAGACUCCUACGGGAGGCAGCAGUGGGGAAUAUUGCACAAUGGGCGCAAGCCUGAUGCAGCGACGCCGCGUGAGGGAUGGAGGCCUUCGGGUUGUGAACCUCUUUCGCCAGUGAAGCAGGCCUGCCUCGUUUGUGGGUGGGUUGACGGUAGCUGGAUAAGAAGCGCCGGCUAACUACGUG